UAUUAUUGACUUGGGCUUCUGUGAAUGGAUAAAUUCUGUGAAAAGAAGAUGGAUUGUGAAUUGCUUGGAAAUGUGAAUAUUAUUAUGAUAGCACAUAUUUUUAGAUCAAGAAUAGUUUGUUUUACAUUAUUUUCAUGAAAAGUUUAUUAAUAUUUAUGAUUAAAAAAACUUUUAAAAAACUGCAUAUGCUGUAAUGUGGCAUGGUUUGGAAUAAAUAUACAUUUGAAGGACUUUUCGCAUAAACUUCAUUUGGUACCUUAAUGAUUCCCUUCAGGAUGCCUGUUUAAAAGAAAAACUGAAGAAACUUUAAAACUAGAUGAUGGCAACUGAAGAAGUUGAAACACCGUUAUUCAUGGUGUCAUAUCGAGGCUUCAGUUCUCGAUGUAAAAGUGAAUGAAAGCACUAAAGAAAGCGAAUAAGCUUUAAAGCAGAAUUUUGUCAUGCGAUUAUGGUGGCGAUAUGAGAGAACUACUGUGGU
Hydra vulgaris (swiftwater hydra) is the source of this 478-nucleotide long non-coding RNA. RefSeq lists it as uncharacterized. Lineage: Eukaryota; Metazoa; Cnidaria; Hydrozoa; Anthoathecata; Hydridae. The record is from RefSeq and is a predicted model, not a curated record.